Molecule: ribosomal RNA, 253 nt
Filed under: uncultured bacterium
Lineage: Bacteria
Description: partial 16S ribosomal RNA
Rfam family: Bacterial small subunit ribosomal RNA
Source: RNAcentral
CACGGGGGGGGUAAGCGUUGUUCGGAAUUACUGGGCGUAAAGGGCUCGUAGGCGGCCAACUAAGUCAGACGUGAAAUCCCUCAGCUUAACUGGGGAACUGCGUCUGAUACUGGAUGGCUUGGAUUCGGGAGAGGAAUGCGGAAUUCCAGGUGUAGCGGUGAAAUGCGUAGAUAUCUGGAGGAACACCGGUGGCGAAGGCGGCAUUCUGGACCGACAUUGACGCUGAGGAGCGAAAGCGUGGGGAGCGAACAGG